RNAcentral lists this ribosomal RNA (144 nucleotides) under uncultured bacterium. RNAcentral's name for it is "partial 16S ribosomal RNA". It matches the Rfam family "Bacterial small subunit ribosomal RNA", at positions 1342 to 1500 of the family's 1533-position model. The record is from RNAcentral.
UCAUAGGUCAGCAUACUAUGGUGAAUACGUUCCCGGGCCUUGUACACACCGCCGUCACACCAUGAGAGUUGAGAAUACCCGAAGUCCAUGUCAAAGUGGCCGAAGGUAGGCUUGAUGAUUGGGGUGAAGUCGUAACAAGGUACC